RNAcentral lists this ribosomal RNA (235 nucleotides) under uncultured bacterium. RNAcentral's name for it is "partial 16S ribosomal RNA". It matches the Rfam family "Bacterial small subunit ribosomal RNA", at positions 99 to 334 of the family's 1533-position model. The record is from RNAcentral.
CGGACGGGUGAGUAACGCGUGGGUAACCUGCCUUGUACUGGGGGACAACAGUUAGAAAUGACUGCUAAUACCGCAUAAGCGCACAGUAUCGCAUGAUACAGUGUGAAAAACUCCGGUGGUACAAGAUGGACCCGCGUCUGAUUAGCUAGUUGGUAAGGUAACGGCUUACCGAGGCGACGAUCAGUAGCCGACCUGAGAGGGUGACCGGCCACAUUGGGACUGAGACACGGCCCAA